GCCAUCGAUGACGACGAGCUGGUCUCGUACGUUCUUGCUGGCCUCGAUUUCGACUACAAUCCCAUCGUCUCAGCCCUAGUUGCCAGGACUGAGUCGAUC
RNAcentral lists this small nucleolar RNA (99 nucleotides) under Zea mays. RNAcentral's name for it is "Small nucleolar RNA Z247". It matches the Rfam family "Small nucleolar RNA Z247". From Rfam's summary of the family: Z247 is a member of the C/D class of snoRNA which contain the C (UGAUGA) and D (CUGA) box motifs. Most of the members of the box C/D family function in directing site-specific 2'-O-methylation of substrate RNAs. Lineage: Eukaryota; Viridiplantae; Streptophyta; Magnoliopsida; Poales; Poaceae. The record is from Rfam by way of RNAcentral.